CCUACGGGUGGCAGCAGUGGGGAAUAUUGCACAAUGGGGGAAACCCUGAUGCAGCGACGCCGCGUGAGUGAAGAAGUAUUUCGGUAUGUAAAGCUCUGUCAGCAGGGAAGAAAAUGACGGUACCUGACCAAGAAGCCCCGGCUAACUACGUGCCAGCAGCCGCGGUAAUACGUAGGGGGCAAGCGUUAUCCGGAUUUACUGGGUGUAAAGGGAGCGUAGACGGCAGGGCAAGUCUAGAGUGAAAGGCGGGCGCUCAACCUCGGGACUGCUCUGGAAACUGCCAGGCUGGAGUGCAGGAGAGGAUAGUGGAAUUCCUGGUGUAGGAGUGAAAUGCGUAGAUAUCAGGAGGAACAUCAGUGGCGAAGGCGGCUUACUGGAACGUAACUGACGCUGAGGCGCGAAAGCGUGGGUAGCAAACAGGAUUAGAUACCCUUGUAGUC
This 440-nucleotide ribosomal RNA is filed under the name uncultured bacterium. RNAcentral describes it as "partial 16S ribosomal RNA". It matches the Rfam family "Bacterial small subunit ribosomal RNA", at positions 338 to 795 of the family's 1533-position model. The record is from RNAcentral.